GAUGAGCGCUGGCGGCGUGCCUAAGGUAUGCAAGUCGAACGAAAAGAAUUGGAAGCGCAAGCUUCUAGUUCAAUUAGUGGCAAACGGCUGAGUAACGUAUAGGAAUUUACCCUUUAGUCAAGGAUAGCUCCCCGAAAGUGGGGGUAAUCCUGGAUAAUAUCUUCGGAUUAAAGCCUUCGGGCGCUAGAGGAAAAGCCUAUAUCUUAUCAGGUAGUUGGUGGGGUAAUAGCCUACCAAGCCUAUGACGGGUAACUGGUCUGAGAGGACGAUCAGUCAGACUGGAACUGCGAUACGGUCCAGACUCCUACGGGAGGCAGCAAUUAGGAAUCUUGCGCAAUGGACGAAAGUCUGACGCAGCGACGCCGCGUGGGGGAUGAAGGCCUUCGGGUUGUAAACUCCUUUUACGAGUGAACAAGUUCUGAGUGUAACUCGUGAAUAAGCACCUUCUAACUUCGUGCCAGAAGAAUCGGUGAUACGAAGGGUGCAAGCGCUAUCCGGAUUUACUGGGCGUAAAGAGAUGCGUAGGCGUCUCUGUAAGUCUUUAGUGCAAUCUUUCAGCUCAACUGGAAGCCCGCUGGAGAAACUACAGAGAUUGAGACAGAUAGGGGUAAGGGGAUUCCCUGGUGGAGCGGUGAAAUGCGUUGAUAUCAGGAGGAAUACCAAUGGCGAAAGCACCUUUACUGGGUCUGUUCUGACGCUAAGGCUCGAAAGCGUGGGGAGCAAAACGGAUUUAGAUACCCGUGUAGUCCACGCUGUAAACGAUCCCUACUAGAUGUCUGUCUAAGUGUAGACGUAUUUGACUUUCGGUUAAAUACUAUACACAGAUGGGUGUCUCAGCUAACGCAAUAAGUAGGGCGCCUGGGGAGUACGACCGCAAGGUUAAAACUCAAAGGAAUUGACGGGGACCCGCACAAGCAGUGGAGCGCUUGGUUUAAUUCGAUGCUAAACGAAGAACCUUACCAAGGCUUGAACUAUAGCUGUGGUUCGCUGGAAACAGUGGACGUCUUCGAGAACGCUAUAGAGGUGCUGCAUGGCUGUCGUCAGCUCGUGUCGUGAGAUGUAGGGUUAAGUCCCACAACGAGCGCAACCCCUAUCCGAUGUUACAAUUUUCUUCGGAGACUGCCUUGCCAAAACGAGGAGGAAGGUGGGGACGACGUCUAGUCAUCAUAGCCCUUACGUCUUGGGCUACACAAGCGCUACAAUGGUCGGUACAAUGGGUUGCCAAGCAGUAAUGCGGAGCUAAUCCCGUAAAACCGGCCUCAGUUCAGAUUGUCGGCUGAAAUUCGCCGACAUGAAGUCGGAAUUGCUAGUAAUCGCGGAUCAGCAUGCCGCGGUGAAUACGUUCUCGGGUCUUGUACACAC
Molecule: ribosomal RNA, 1362 nt
Filed under: uncultured bacterium
Lineage: Bacteria
Description: bacterial SSU rRNA
Rfam family: Bacterial small subunit ribosomal RNA
Source: RNAcentral